This 121-nucleotide non-coding RNA is filed under the name Trichobilharzia regenti. Lineage: Eukaryota; Metazoa; Platyhelminthes; Trematoda; Strigeidida; Schistosomatidae. The record is from RNAcentral.
GUGCGUGAGAGAAGGAGAGAUGGUUGGCAGUCCCGUAAACAAGGUUGGAUAGGGCACCUGUUGCUCACUCUCCGGAGGCACGAAUCGUCCGCUACAUCGGGCGGUCUUUUUAAAGAUGUAC